UACGUAGGCACCAAGCGUUGUCCGGAUUUAUUGGGCGUAAAGAGCUCGUAGGCGGUUCGGUAAGUCGGGUGUGAAAACUCUGGGCUCAACCCAGAGAGGCCACCCGAUACUGCCGUGACUGGAGUGCGGUAGGGGAGUGGGGAAUUCCUGGUGUAGCGGUGGAAUGCGCAGAUAUCAGGAGGAACACCAAUGGCGAAGGCAGAUCUCUGGGCCGUAACUGACGCUGAGGAGCGAAAGCAUGGGGAGCGAACAGG
Molecule: ribosomal RNA, 254 nt
Filed under: uncultured bacterium
Lineage: Bacteria
Description: partial 16S ribosomal RNA
Rfam family: Bacterial small subunit ribosomal RNA
Source: RNAcentral